AACGAACGCUGGCGGCAGGCCUAACACAUGCAAGUCGAACGCUGCAGCAAUGCAGAGUGGCAGACGGGUGAGUAACGCGUGGGAACCUUCCCAGUGGUACGGAAUAGCCCAGGGAAACUUGGGGUAAUACCGUAUAAGCCCCUAGGGGGAAAGAUUUAUCGCCAUUGGAUGGGCCCGCGUCGGAUUAGCUAGUUGGUGAGGUAACGGCUCACCAAGGCGACGAUCCGUAGCUGGUCUGAGAGGAUGAUCAGCCACACUGGGACUGAGACACGGCCCAGACUCCUACGGGAGGCAGCAGUGGGGAAUAUUGGACAAUGGGCGCAAGCCUGAUCCAGCCAUGCCGCGUGAGUGACGAAGGCCUUAGGGUUGUAAAGCUCUUUUGGCGGGGACGAUAAUGACGGUACCCGCAGAAUAAGCUCCGGCUAACUUCGUGCCAGCCGCCGCGGUAA
This 449-nucleotide ribosomal RNA is filed under the name uncultured bacterium. RNAcentral's name for it is "partial 16S ribosomal RNA". It matches the Rfam family "Bacterial small subunit ribosomal RNA", at positions 29 to 523 of the family's 1533-position model. The record is from RNAcentral.